This 687-nucleotide ribosomal RNA is filed under the name uncultured archaeon. RNAcentral's name for it is "bacterial SSU rRNA". It matches the Rfam family "Archaeal small subunit ribosomal RNA", at positions 78 to 768 of the family's 1478-position model. The record is from RNAcentral.
GUGGCAUACGGCUCAGUAACACGUAGUCAACAUGCCCAGGGGACGUGGAUAACCUCGGGAAACUGAGGAUAAACCGCGAUAGGUCAUAGUAUCUGGAAUGAUUUAUGGCUUAAAUCUAUAUGGCCUCUGGAUUGGACUGCGGCCGAUCAGGCUGUUGGUGAGGUAAUGGCCCACCAAACCUAAAACCGGUACGGGCUCUGAGAGGAGAAGCCCGGAGAUGGGCACUGAGACAAGGGCCCAGGCCCUAUGGGGCGCAGCAGGCGCGAAAACUCUGCAAUAAGCGAAAGCUUGACAGGGUUAUUCUGAGUGGUUUCCGCUAAGGAAAUCUUUUGGCACCUCUAAAAAUGGUGCAGAAUAAGGGGUGGGCAAGCCUGGUGUCAGCCGCCGCGGUAAUACCAGCACCCCGAGUGGUCGGGACGAUUAUUGGGCCUAAAGCAUCCGUAGCCGGUUCUACAAGUCUUCCGUUAAAUCCACCUGCUCAACAGAUGGGCUGCGGAGGAUACUAUAGAGCUAGGAGGCGGGAGAGGCAAGCGGUACUUAGUGGGUAGGGGUAAAAUCCGUUGAUCCAUUGAAGACCACCAGUGGCGAAGGCGGCUUGCCAGAACGCACUCGACGGUGAGGGAUGAAAGCUGGGGGAGCAAACCGGAUUAGAUACCCGGGUAGUCCCAGCUGUAAACGAUGCAGACU